GACGGAGUGAAUGAAAGUAAAGAAGCACGGUGAGAAGUUGGGUUCUGAAACAAGUGGAAGUAUACAUAAACUGUGAUUGUGACAAACCCAAUCACCUGUCGGAGAGAGACAGUCAAGUUUCUCAACACGUACUGCAUUUGGAGGCUUCUAAAAGUGAUUGUUUUAAAAGACAUUAAUGGAUGAUAUAUGCUCUGUAAUAUGUCAUAAAUAUAUAUGCCUGUAACAAAUAUUUUGUACAGUUAUUACAUGUGACCACAAAUUAAUGUUUUGACUCUCUUUGGGGGUUUUUUUGUAUUUACCAUAUAGAAAAGUUUUCUAUUUAUUAUGGCUAUUAAUUUCCUGUUUUAUACUUCUGUCACUUAUUAUAUUUAUAUACUUAUGAUAUGAAUAUUUAUUUGUAAAGCUGUGAAAUAUUUAAAUCGUGCUAUAGAAAUACAUUUGAAAUGAAGAAAAUUGAAUUGACUUAUUUUGUUGGUUUAGCUUACUUCAAAAUCGGAUACGUAUGUGUUUCCUAAUAUUUUCCUAGUAAGGUGAACACUAAUAUGUGUGAACUGACUUUUAGUAUUCGAGCGGAAGGUCCUCGCAGAUGGCUAUGUCAGGUCAGGUGACUCAGGUCUUGACAGACGACGUGAAAAUGAUGUGACCGUGCGGUCCGGAAUCGUUAAGUGGAAUCGACAUUUUCGAAAGGAUCCGAUUCCUUUCUUAUGGGUCCGAUUUUUUUCUUCGUCAAAUAAAUUAAUAAUAUUGAAACAUUUCAUACAGAUGAUCUGGAGAAGACAAAUGGGUUCUGCUUUGGUUAAUAAACAGUUGUUGUAGCUGUUGCCUGAUAUAUUGUGUAUGUUUGUUGUUUAUGUUAAGAUUUUUUUGUGAUGCAUUGAAAUGUGUUUUCGUUAUUGCAUUUUUGACGAUUUGUUGUCAAACCUUAAGGCGGAACAAUAAGAGCGUUUUUUGGCUCUCUUUCAAGAGCUGUCCUGUCACUGUUUUAAAGAGAUAGCUCAGUGGAAAAAUCGAAUU
Molecule: long non-coding RNA, 1014 nt
Organism: Triplophysa rosa
Lineage: Eukaryota; Metazoa; Chordata; Actinopteri; Cypriniformes; Nemacheilidae
Exons: 3
Source: RefSeq, a predicted model, not a curated record